CAUGUGCACGAGUCAUUGAGUCUACUAAACUCAAAGGCGAAGUGAAAGCAAAAUGUUCGUUCCUUCACUCGCAAGAGUGUUGGUCGUUCAAGGGCUGAUCCCGUACGAAAUAGAGCGGGCGCAAGCUCGGGACUUGCAUUUCCUUUUAUGGAAGGUGAGUACCAAUAGUGUACCUGGUAGUACCCGAAAGAUGGUGAACUAUGCCUGGCCAGGACGAAGCCAGAGGAAACUCUGGUGGAGGUCCGAAACGAUUCUGACGUGCAAAUCGAUCGUCGGAGCUGGGUAUAGGGGCGAAAGACUAAUCGAACUAUCUAGUAGCUGGUUCCCUCCGAAGUUUCCCUUAGGAUAGCUGGUGCUCUUGAAAGAGUUUCAUCCGGUAAAGCGAAUGAUUAGAGGUCUUGGGGACGAAACGUCCUCAACCUAUUCUCAAACUUUAAAUGGGUGAGAAGUCGGGCUUGCUUGAAUAGUGAAGCUCCGACAGUAAAUCUGAGUGCCUAGUGGGCCAUUUUUGGUAAGCAGAACUGGCGCUGUGGGAUGAACCAAACGUUGAGUUAAGGGGCCUAAAUGAAUGCUCAUCAGAACCCAGAAAAGGUGUUGGUUGCUAUAGACAG
RNAcentral lists this ribosomal RNA (611 nucleotides) under Tenagomysis australis. RNAcentral's name for it is "eukaryotic LSU rRNA". It matches the Rfam family "Eukaryotic large subunit ribosomal RNA", at positions 679 to 1240 of the family's 3401-position model. The record is from RNAcentral. Lineage: Eukaryota; Metazoa; Arthropoda; Malacostraca; Mysida; Mysidae.